ACGUAGGGACCAGGCGUUGUUCGGAUUUACUGGGCGUAAAGGGCGCGUAGGCGGCGUGUUAAGUCAGCUGUGAAAUCUCCGAGCUUAACUCGGAACGGUCAGCUGAUACUGAUGUGCUAGAGUGCAGAAGGGGCAAUCGGAAUUCUUGGUGUAGCGGUGAAAUGCGUGGAUAUCAAGAGGAACACCUGAGGUGAAGACGGGUUGCUGGGCUGACACUGACGCUGAGGCGCGAAAGCGUGGGGAGCAAACAGGA
RNAcentral lists this ribosomal RNA (253 nucleotides) under uncultured prokaryote. RNAcentral's name for it is "partial 16S ribosomal RNA". It matches the Rfam family "Bacterial small subunit ribosomal RNA", at positions 525 to 777 of the family's 1533-position model. The record is from RNAcentral.